RNAcentral lists this long non-coding RNA (627 nucleotides) under Cyanistes caeruleus (blue tit). Its description in RNAcentral is "lncRNA (ENSCCEG00000020884.1)". The record is from RNAcentral. Lineage: Eukaryota; Metazoa; Chordata; Aves; Passeriformes; Paridae.
GUAGUCUCUUGCUUUGCUUCCUGUCUUCCCUCUAGCACAAGGGCAUGGCACAGUCACCAGACAUCUUAGGCUUUAAAAGAAAAUGAAAUGAAAUGGAAAUGAAAAUCAAUGAAAAGACCCUGCUACCAUUCUUACCUCAAGAAGAAACAGCUUUUUGUCCCUGGGGAGAACACAGGUUUGUGACAAACUAAGGGGAAGGACAUCCCGCUCUGCCUGCCAGCUUUUGAAAGCCAUAUCAUGACCUCUCAGCUGGCACAACCAAGGAACUGGCUCUCUUCAUGUCCACGGGGAAUUAAGGCUGGCUGAAGGAACGUAGAAAAUCUGAAGUGAUUCAGACAAGCAUGACUCAGCCACCCUGUCACAAAGUUCUUCACAAAGAAGAUUCCCAGCUUUGGCUGCCCUUAGACCUGCCAGCUCUCUGCUCUGGUGCUCACCACCUAAUCCCUGAAAUCUGGAUAGAUUACUUCAAACAAGAGAACAUAUGUCAAAACCUGUCAUCCUCAGGUAUGAGGUCAUAUUUGUGCUUCCUACCAGGAGGGAAGAAGAUUUACAAGGCCUUUGAACAGAAUGACAGAAUGACAGAAUGACAGAAUGGGAAAGGUUGGAAGGGACCACAGUGGGUCAUCU